GAAAAAGGCUUUAUUAUGGGUGACAUCAACUGAAGAGAUGAACACCAUGAAGUCAUCUUCUACUUACUCACAAUUGGAUUAUAAACUGUGUGAGGGCAGAGCCUAAGACUAACUCAUGUCUGCAUUCUAAGAUACUGGAGCAGUGUCUGGCUCAUAAAAGACAUCAAUGGGUGUCCUAAAUAGAUGUCAAUUGCUUGAAUUGAAUGACAGGGCAGAUUGGCUAUGGGACAGGUCUCAGAGUGUGUAGGGUUAUUCCUAGAGCAUAUGGGCCUGGAACUUUCUUCAGGAAAGAAGGUCUGGGAAGUAUGUGUGCAGUGACAUUUCUUGUGUUCCUCCCUAACUUGAAAAUCCCCCUCUUCUGACAACAGUGAGGCUCUAGGACCCUGUCCUCACACUUAGUGGACCCAAGCAUGGAGCAUGUGACCCUGGCCAGAGCCAAUCAGAAUAUCCCUGGCCAGUGGUUCAGGAGUGGGCACAUAAGCUAAGUCAGCCCAGCAAGAAUGAAUCUUAGGACUUCUUCAAAAAUUACUGGAAAAGACACUUGCUUUCUCCUGCUGAACUUGAAUAGAAAGCUGGAGUCACUGGAGCUCUCGUGCCACUAUAGGGACCAUGGGAAUGAAGCCAACACAUCAAGGAAAGCCAGAAUGCUGAAAGACACUAGUUAUUGCUGAAAUAGCUUGAAGCAAGAAGCCAGUUUUACCCUUGGACUUUUCCUAUUCCUAGAUAUAAGUCCAACUAGUAGAGCACAUUUCGCUAGGAAGGUCAGCAAGACAGGAG
This 777-nucleotide long non-coding RNA is filed under the name Pan troglodytes (chimpanzee). RNAcentral's name for it is "long non-coding RNA NONPTRT009000". The record is from RNAcentral. Lineage: Eukaryota; Metazoa; Chordata; Mammalia; Primates; Hominidae.